This 68-nucleotide transfer RNA is filed under the name Marmota monax (woodchuck). RNAcentral's name for it is "tRNA.Ala". It matches the Rfam family "tRNA", at positions 5 to 66 of the family's 71-position model. Rfam says of the family: Transfer RNA (tRNA) molecules are approximately 80 nucleotides in length. Their secondary structure includes four short double-helical elements and three loops (D, anti-codon, and T loops). Further hydrogen bonds mediate the characteristic L-shaped molecular structure. tRNAs have two regions of fundamental functional importance: the anti-codon, which is responsible for specific mRNA codon recognition, and the 3' end, to which the tRNAs corresponding amino acid is attached (by aminoacyl-tRNA synthetases). tRNAs cope with the degeneracy of the genetic code in two manners: having more than one tRNA (with a specific anti-codon) for a particular amino acid; and 'wobble' base-pairing, i.e. permitting non-standard base-pairing at the 3rd anti-codon position. Lineage: Eukaryota; Metazoa; Chordata; Mammalia; Rodentia; Sciuridae. The record is from RNAcentral.
GGAGUGUAGCUCAGUGGUAGAGUGCUUGCCUAGCAUGUGUGAGGCACUGGGUUCGAUCCUCAGCACCA